Molecule: long non-coding RNA, 1538 nt
Organism: Boleophthalmus pectinirostris (great blue-spotted mudskipper)
Lineage: Eukaryota; Metazoa; Chordata; Actinopteri; Gobiiformes; Gobiidae
Exons: 5
Source: RefSeq, a predicted model, not a curated record
AAACUCAUUUUCAUCUCUGGAGCAGAUGUCCAUUAAUUCUCUUAGUCCAGUUCUGUUGUUAAAGUUUGUCUUGUUAGAAUUAGGGGUGUGCAAAAAUAUCGGAAUAUCGAUAUAUCGUAUCAUUUAAUGUGAUGAUACAGUAUCGAUAUCAUGGGCUACUGUAUCGAUAUUUGACCAAGAGUAUUUUUAGGUGUGUUUCUCUAAAUUGAUUUUGUUACAGUGCUACAGUUUUGUUGCUUGUGGAGUGAAAGGAAGCUCAUUUAUGCGACACAUUUGACAUUUUUACAGUUUUGAGGAUUAAAAUGUAAAAAUCAUAUGAACUUUGCACAAGAAGUGAUUUAACAAAGCCUUUUAGUAUCACAGCCACGAUUUAGCCUUUAUUUUUUAUUGAACCGUAUCGAAUCAAUUUGAAAUAUAUCAUAUCGAAUCGAAAGUGCACUGUAUCGAGAUAUGUAUCGUAUCGUGGCCUGUGUAUCGAGGUAUGUAUCGUAUCGGCAACUCCUUAAUGAUACCCAGCCCUAGUUAGAAUGUAAUAAAUGAUUUUUUGGCCAUUUUACAAGUAUUGCAUAUGACUAUAAAUGAGUCUCUCUAUGUAUUUUAGUUUUUGUUAUUUAAAGCAGUGAGUACUGGUCAUUAUUAGGAUUGGAUCUGGUGUUUUUCGCCCACAUAAUGGGUGCGAUGUUGGUCUUAAUUUUCAGUUCAGUGGUCUUUAAAAGGUCUUUAAAAAGUCUUAAAUUUUGGGGUAGUCAACCCUGGGGAUACCUUGUUGCUUUCAUUAUAAGAAAUGACAGCAGGCUCAAAGCAGAUGAGAAAGAAGAGACUGAAAUUAAAAUCAAUGAAAUUCAAACAUCUUGAACCUUGAACUUUCUCUAAAUCAGGGGUCUCCAACCUGCAGUUCAGGAGCUACCAGUAGCUCUCCAGCUCCUCUGAAAUAGCUCUCCAAGGGAUUUCGGAAUUAUACAUAUUGUUCUGAAUAAGUCUUUUUUACGUGAUAAUUUCGUAUCAUGUUAUAACGUGGAUUAGUAUAAUAUUAGUAUCUCGUAAUUACAAGAUAGUUUAUUUUGUUUUUACGACAUUUUUUUUAACGACAGCUAACGUUAGCUAACCAACCAAAAUUUAUGUUGUUUUUCCCCAGAUGACAUCAGGAGCCCCUGUCCUUCUGCUGAGUGUCUCCAUCAGGAGCCCGGCACGCUGAUCAGAAAAUAUACUAUGGUUAAUAAGAAGAUGGACAUAACAGCAUGAUAAAGACCCUCUGGAGGAUUCCCUCUGCUGGGCCAAGUUCCAAAAAUGUAGAGACAGACCCUGUAACAUGCUGUGGUGGAGUUUACAGACUGACCCUCUAUGCUGUGAGAAAGGGGAAGUCCAGAGCUGGACACUGACAGACUGGAUCUUCACCAGUAGGACUGAAGAGGAGCCAGACUCACUGCACCUCUGCCUCAAAACCUCUGCCUCAGACUGAAGCUAAAGACAGAGGCUCUGAAGCUCCCACACUGCACACUCUAUAAGAACAACCAAUUAAUCUCGUAAUUACGAGAUAA